Molecule: long non-coding RNA, 712 nt
Organism: Cavia porcellus (domestic guinea pig)
Lineage: Eukaryota; Metazoa; Chordata; Mammalia; Rodentia; Caviidae
Exons: 2
Source: RefSeq, a predicted model, not a curated record
GGCACAUAAAUCUUAAUCUGCAUUCCACUUCCCUGGGUACUGGAAACCCUUGCUCGGGGAGGCGGAUCCUACUCAGCUGCAGCAUGGUGAGGACAUGGAGAAUGGGAAGAGCCGUGAUCAGUGUGGAGGGGCAGCAGAAGGCCGUUUCUCCAGGGGAAGAGCCGUUCUCGAGGAGGAAAUGUGUGUCACAGCACAAGUGAGGGAGAGUUCACGUCUCACCUCAACCCUGUGACCAGCUGCACAUAAGAAUUCAAGACAAUUUGUGACCAUAAUUACUUAUCAGGCUGCAUAAAAACACCGAGUUACAGAAGAGCUGAAAACGGUCUUUAAAUAUAACUCGCAAGCUUGCUGCCUGUCUGCUUAGUCAGAGAAGAGCAAUAUUUUGUUCACAAAUAUGAAACAUGUAGGGAUAUUUUGAUAGCCUCUUGGCUCUUCAUGGGUGCUUUUGCCAGGAUUAGCGACGUUGUCCGCAAAGCCAGCAACCCGACCUCCCAGCCCUGCGCCUUCCCGGGAAGUGGCUGCGUACUUCCCUUGCCACCUGAGGAAGUGGUGGGUCCUUGUUCUACGACAGCACCGCCUGGCACCUGCAGAGACCUGGGUGACUCACCCGUGCUGCCUUUCCUUUGUGUUUGCACUUCAUUUUGAAGUAUGACACUAAUAAACCAUAGCAGUAUGAAGUAUUAAACCCACACACGAAGGCAAAUUGAUCUGA